Long non-coding RNA from Xenopus laevis (African clawed frog), 254 nucleotides. RefSeq lists it as uncharacterized. NCBI's taxonomy places the organism in Eukaryota, Metazoa, Chordata, Amphibia, Anura, Pipidae. The record is from RefSeq and is a predicted model, not a curated record. The transcript has 2 exons.
GUCCUUUAGCUUCUAUUUUUUUUUUUUGCUCUAUUCUAACUUUAUACUGACCACAUCUAAAAAAAACAUGCUCUGUAAGGCUACAAAUGCAUUGCAAAGGCUGCGUUUCGAUUACUCCUUUUCCUAUUCAGGCAUCUCCUAUUGAUUUCCCACCUUUUACAAUGCAUGGUUGCUAGGUGUAUUUGUACCCUAGCAACCAGAUGGUUGCAAUAGCAAACUAGAGAGCUUCAGAAUUAAAAUCUACAUAACCAAAA